Mirounga angustirostris (Northern elephant seal) is the source of this 297-nucleotide long non-coding RNA. RefSeq lists it as uncharacterized. Lineage: Eukaryota; Metazoa; Chordata; Mammalia; Carnivora; Phocidae. The record is from RefSeq and is a predicted model, not a curated record. The transcript has 3 exons.
GGACUGGCUCCUUUUGGCAUGCAUACAUCUACAUUCCUGGUCCCCCACCAAAUCAUCAAGAAUUACUGACUGUACCCACGAAAGAGGAUACUUUCAGGCUUAAGGCUGGGUCCUCUGGAAGCAAACACAAGAUGGAAUUUAGCUUGUUUAUUAGGGAUCAAUACUUUGAAAGGAAGGGGGAUGAAGCAGAGUUGGGCAGGACUCUGGCCCAACCAAGCCUCAACCACUCUGGCAGUGACUUGUGGGGUGGCAGGCUGGAUUUGCCAACCCUUGCUCAAAAUUAUAGCCUCUCUGCUG